UGGGGAAUAUUGGACAAUGGACCAAAAGUCUGAUCCAGCAAUUCUGUGUGCACGAUGACGUUUUUCGGAAUGUAAAGUGCUUUCAGUUGGGAAGAAAAAAAUGACAAAUANCAACAGAAGAAGNGAAGAAGGGGGGGAUAAAUACGUCCCCCCCCCCGCGGUAAUAUUUUUUUCCCAAGCGUUCUCCGGAUUUUUUGGGCGUAAAGCGCGUCUAGGUGGUUAUGUAAGUUUGAUGUGACAAUGCAGGGCUCAACUCUGUAUCGCGUUGGAAACUGCAUGACUAGAGUACUGGAGAGGUAAGCGGAACUACAAGUGUAGAGGUGAAAUUCGUAGAUAUUUGUAGGAAUGCCGAUGGGGAAGCCAGCUUACUGGACAGAUACUGACGCUAAAGCGCGAAAGCGUGGGUAGCAAACAGGAUUAGAUACCCUGGUAGUCCACGCCGUAAACGAUGAUUACUAGGUGUUGGGGGUCGAACCUCAGCGCCCAAGCUAACGCGAUAAGUAAUCCGCCUGGGGAGUACGUACGCAAGUAUG
This 533-nucleotide ribosomal RNA is filed under the name uncultured bacterium. RNAcentral describes it as "partial 16S rRNA". It matches the Rfam family "Bacterial small subunit ribosomal RNA", at positions 355 to 896 of the family's 1533-position model. The record is from RNAcentral.